UUGCCCUAGUAACGGCGAGUGAAGCGGCAACAGCUCAAAUUUGAAAUCUGGCUUCGGCCCGAGUUGUAAUUUGCAGAGGAAGCUUUAGGCGCGGCACCUUCUGAGUCCCCUGGAACGGGGCGCCAUAGAGGGUGAGAGCCCCGUAUAGUUGGAUGCCUAGCCUGUGUAAAGCUCCUUCGACGAGUCGAGUAGUUUGGGAAUGCUGCUCAAAAUGGGAGGUAAAUUUCUUCUAAAGCUAAAUACCGGCCAGAGACCGAUAGCGCACAAGUAGAGUGAUCGAAAGAUGAAAAGCACUUUGAAAAGAGGGUUAAAUAGCACGUGAAAUUGUUGAAAGGGAAGCGCUUGUGACCAGACUUGCGCCGGGCGGAUCAUCCGGUGUUCUCACCGGUGCACUCCGCCCGGCUCAGGCCAGCAUCGGUUCUCGCGGGGGGAUAAAGGUCUCGGGAACGUAGCUCCUCCGGGAGUGUUAUAGCCCGGGGCGUAAUGCCCUCGCGGGGACCGAGGUUCGCGCAUCUGCAAGGAUGCUGGCGUAAUGGUCAUCAGCGACCCGUCUUGAAACACGGACCAAGGAGUCAAGGUUUUGCGCGAGUGUUUGGGUGUAAAACCCGCACGCGUAAUGAAAGUGAACGUAGGUGAGAGCUUCGGCGCAUCAUCGACCGAUCCUGAUGUUUUCGGAUGGAUUUGAGUAGGAGCGUUAAGCCUUGGACCCGAAAGAUGGUGAACUAUGCUUGGAUAGGGUGAAGCCAGAGGAAACUCUGGUGGAGGCUCGCAGCGGUUCUGACGUGCAAAUCGAUCGUCAAAUCUGAGCAUGGGGGCGAAAGACU
RNAcentral lists this ribosomal RNA (824 nucleotides) under Chaetomium novozelandicum. Its description in RNAcentral is "partial large subunit ribosomal RNA". It matches the Rfam family "Eukaryotic large subunit ribosomal RNA", at positions 75 to 932 of the family's 3401-position model. Lineage: Eukaryota; Fungi; Ascomycota; Sordariomycetes; Sordariales; Chaetomiaceae. The record is from RNAcentral.